AUUGAACGCUGGCGGCAGGCCUAACACAUGCAAGUCGAGCGAGCGGCGGACGGGUGAGUAAUGUAUGGGGAUCUGCCCGAUAGAGGGGGAUAACUACUGGAAACGGUGGCUAAUACCGCAUACUAUCGGAUGAACCCAGAUGGGAUUAGCUAGUAGGUGGGGUAAAGGCUCACCUAGGCGACGAUCCCUAGCUGGUAUGAGAGGAUGACCAGCCACACUGGAACUGAGCCACGGUCCAGACUCCUGUGGUAGGCAGCAGUGGGGAAUAUUGCACAAUGGGCGGAAGCCUGAUACAGCCAUGCCGCGUGUGUGAAGAAGGCCUUCGGGUUGUAAAGCACUUUCAGCGAGGAGGCGUUACUCGCAGAAGAAGCACCGGCUAACUCCGUGCCAGCCGCCGCGGUAAUAC
Molecule: ribosomal RNA, 406 nt
Filed under: uncultured bacterium
Lineage: Bacteria
Description: partial 16S ribosomal RNA
Rfam family: Bacterial small subunit ribosomal RNA
Source: RNAcentral